This 590-nucleotide ribosomal RNA is filed under the name uncultured bacterium. Its description in RNAcentral is "partial 16S ribosomal RNA". It matches the Rfam family "Bacterial small subunit ribosomal RNA", at positions 355 to 938 of the family's 1533-position model. The record is from RNAcentral.
UGGGGAAUCUUCCGCAAUGGACGAAAGUCUGACGGAGCAACGCCGCGUGAGUGAAGAAGGUUUUCGGAUCGUAAAACUCUGUCUUUUGGGGCGAACGUGAGUAUGGUGAACAAUCAUAGUCAGUGACGGUACCAAAGGAGGAAGCCACGGCUAACUACGUGCCAGCAGCCGCGGUAAUACGUAGGUGGCAAGCGUUGUCCGGAAUUAUUGGGCGUAAAGAGCGCGUAGGCGGGAUAGUCAGUCUGUUGUAAAGUGCGGGGCUCAACCCCGUGAUGGCAAUGGAAACAGCUAUUCUUGAGUGCAGGAGAGGAAAGUGGAAUUCCCAGUGUAGCGGUGAAAUGCGUAGAUAUUGGGAGGAACACCAGUGGCGAAGGCGACUUUCUGGACUGUGUCUGACGCUGAGGCGCGAAAGCCAGGGGGAGCGAACGGGAUUAGAUACCCCGGUAGUCCUGGCCGUAAACGAUGGGUACUAGGUGUGGGAGGUAUCGACCCCCUUCCGUGCCGGAGUUAACGCAAUAAGUACCCCGCCUGGGGAGUACGGUCGCAAGACUGAAACUCAAAGGAAUUGACGGGGGUCAUAGCUGUUUCCU